AAGACCUUGCGCUUUUGGAGCGGCCGAUGUCUGAUUAGCUUGUUGGUAAGGUAAAAGCUUACCAAGGCUUCGAUCAGUAGCUGGUCUGAGAGGACGACCAGCCACACUGGGACUGAGACACGGCCCAGACUCCUACGGGAGGCAGCAGUGGGGAAUUUUGGACAAUGGGGGCAACCCUGAUCCAGCCAUGCCGCGUGAGUGAAGAAGGCCUUCGGGUUGUAAAGCUCUUUCAGCCGGAACGAAACGGUUACGGCUAAUACCCGUGACUACUGACGGUACCGGAAGAAGAAGCACCGGCUAACUACGUGCCAGCAGCCGCGGUAAUACGUAGGGUGCAAGCGUUAAUCGGAAUUACUGGGCGUAAAGCGUGCGCAGGUGGUUUUGUAAGUCAGAUGUGAAAUCCCCGGGCUUAACCUGGGAACU
This 423-nucleotide ribosomal RNA is filed under the name uncultured bacterium. Its description in RNAcentral is "bacterial SSU rRNA". It matches the Rfam family "Bacterial small subunit ribosomal RNA", at positions 207 to 622 of the family's 1533-position model. The record is from RNAcentral.